RNAcentral lists this ribosomal RNA (450 nucleotides) under uncultured Glomeromycotina. RNAcentral describes it as "SSU rRNA". It matches the Rfam family "Eukaryotic small subunit ribosomal RNA", at positions 569 to 1021 of the family's 1831-position model. Lineage: Eukaryota; Fungi; Glomeromycota. The record is from RNAcentral.
AGCAGCCGCGGUAAUUCCAGCUCCAAUAGCGUAUAUUAAAGUUGUUGCAGUUAAAAAAGCUCGUAGUUGAAUUUCGGGAUCAAUAUAUUGGUCGUGCCUCCGGUACGUACUGGUAUCGUUGAUUUCUACCUUCUGACGAACUAUGAUGUCAUUAAUUUGGUGUCAUGGGAAAUCAGGACUGUUACUUUGAAAAAAUUAGAGUGUUUAAAGCAGGCACACGCUUGAAUACAUUAGCAUGGAAUAAUGAAAUAGGACGUUUGACCCUAUUUUGUUGGUUUCUAGGAUCGACGUAAUGAUUAAUAGGGAUAGUUGGGGGCAUUAGUAUUCAAUUGUCAGAGGUGAAAUUCUUGGAUUUAUUGAAGACUAAACUACUGCGAAAGCAUUUGCCAAGGAUGUUUUCAUUAAUCAAGAACGAAAGUUAGGGGAUCGAAGACGAUCAGAUACCGUCGU